This is a non-coding RNA of Mycena leptocephala, 92 nucleotides long. Lineage: Eukaryota; Fungi; Basidiomycota; Agaricomycetes; Agaricales; Mycenaceae. The record is from the annotation of a GenBank genome assembly.
GCGGACGUGGUGCAUGGGGCACCGCUGCAUGGAAUUUCUCUGGAAAAUUCAGCAUUGGAGCAGUUGAAGGGGUUCGACUCCCCGUGUCCGCA